GACGGAGGAUGCAAGCGUUAUCCGGAAUGAUUGGGCGUAAAGCGUCCGCAGGUGGCAGUUCAAGUCUGCUGUCAAAGACCGGGGCUUAACUUCGGAAAGGCAGUGGAAACUGAACAGCUAGAGUAUGGUAGGGGCAGAGGGAAUUCCUGGUGUAGCGGUGAAAUGCGUAGAUAUCAAGAGGAACACCUGCGGCGAAGGCGGGUUGCUGGGCUGACACUGACGCUGAAGUGCGAAAGCUAGGGGAGCGAACGGG
Molecule: ribosomal RNA, 253 nt
Filed under: uncultured bacterium
Lineage: Bacteria
Description: partial 16S ribosomal RNA
Rfam family: Bacterial small subunit ribosomal RNA
Source: RNAcentral